GUGCCAGCCGCCGCGGUAAUACGUAGGGUGCGAGCGUUAAUCGGAAUUACUGGGCGUAAAGCGCGUGUAGGCGGACUGGUGUGUCGGAUGUGAAAUCCCCAGGCUCAACCUGGGAACUGCAUUUGUGACUGCAUCGCUGGAGUGCGGCAGAGGGGGAUGGAAUUCCGCGUGUAGCAGUGAAAUGCGUAGAUAUGCGGAGGAACACCGAUGGCGAAGGCAAUCCCCUGGACCUGUACUGACGCUCAUGCACGAAAGCGUGGGGAGCAAACAGGAUUAGAUACCCUGGUAGUCC
Molecule: ribosomal RNA, 292 nt
Filed under: uncultured bacterium
Lineage: Bacteria
Description: partial 16S ribosomal RNA
Rfam family: Bacterial small subunit ribosomal RNA
Source: RNAcentral